AGCGGCGGACGGGUGAGUAAUGCUUGGGAAUCUACCUAGUAGUGGGGGAUAACGUGUGGAAACGCACGCUAAUACCGCAUACGUCCUACGGGAGAAAGCAGGGGAUCUUCGGACCUUGCGCUAUUAGAUGAGCCCAAGUCGGAUUAGCUAGUUGGUGGGGUAAUGGCUCACCAAGGCUACGAUCCGUAGCUGGUCUGAGAGGAUGAUCAGCCACACUGGGACUGAGACACGGCCCAGACUCCUACGGGAGGCAGCAGUGGGGAAUAUUGCACAAUGGGCGAAAGCCUGAUGCAGCCAUGCCGCGUGUGUGAAGAAGGCUCUAGGGUUGUAAAGCACUUUCAGUAGGGAGGAACAGCUUAAGACUAAUACUCCUGAGCCUUGACGUUACCUACAGAAGAAGCACCGGCAAACUCCGUGCCAGCAGCCGCGGUAAUACGGAGGGUGCGAGCGUUAAUCGGAAUUACUGGGCGUAAAGCGCGCGUAGGUGGUUUGAUAAGCUAGCUGUGAAAGCCCCGGGCUCAACCUGGGAACUGCAGUUAGAACUGUCUGGCUAGAGUACAGUAGAGGGUGGCGGAAUUUCCUGUGUAGCGGUGAAAUGCGUAGAUAUAGGAAGGGACAUCAGUGGCGACGCGGCCACCUGGACUGAUACUGACACUGAGUGCGAAGGCGUGGGGAGCAAACAGAUAGAUACCCUGUUAGUCCGCUCGGA
Molecule: ribosomal RNA, 709 nt
Filed under: uncultured bacterium
Lineage: Bacteria
Description: bacterial SSU rRNA
Rfam family: Bacterial small subunit ribosomal RNA
Source: RNAcentral